UUAAGAAUUGUGGAUCCUAAGUGCUAACCAACUAUCUCAAAAAUACAUGCUGAUAGGAAUGUCGCACCUAUCGUACUUAAGGGCUCAAUCACAACGCUCGCAAACUUCAACCUGACUUAAUCCAUCUGAACGUUAGGUCUAUUGUUGGGCCUCUUGCCAUUAGGUCUUUUGUGGACCGCGUCUUUACUCAACUUAUUAGCCUCACCUAACACAACUUAUUAGUCUCCGGAGCCUAUUGUCACGGGAUAAGAUGUUGGACCUAUUUUAGUCUAAUAAUAAAUAGCCAACAAGAAUAGCGUCACUUAUGCCCUUUAGGGCCCGUUUGGUUCGAGUUAUGUAAUAUUACAAAGUAUCUCGACAUAUCCAGGUAUCUUAGAUUUCGGUGUGAGAUUACUACUGAAGCUGCAUUAGAGCGUUUGGUUUAAUACAGUAAUGUAAUACUAGAUUACAGUGUUUAUAUCAUUAAUAUGUUUGGCCCAGUUUAUAAAAUUUAGUAAUCCUGACAUAAAAGUAUAGUUUUUUUCAAAAUUGCCCUUGUUGUGGUCAUUUGAAUAUUAUUUUUUGCGAAAAUGACAAACGGAGGGAAGGAGAUCGUGAUGAUUACUUGGGAGGACGACGCAAUAGAAGAUGAUAGGUGUUCGUGCGAGAGAGAGAGAGAGAGAGAGAGAGAGACGUCGAGAGAGAGAGAGAGAGAGAGAGAGAGAGAAAGUGGCGUGCGAGAGAGAGGGCCGGGGGGAAGGCGAGAGAGAGAUGAAAAUAAUGCUGUUAAUUAGAUUUGGAAUUGUUGGAGGGUAAAAUUAUCAUUUUACAUAAUAUGUAGUAUUAACGGGUUUCAGUAAUAAAAGAUACACGACCCCUCUCCCGUUAAUAUUUUCGAGGUAAUCCUGCUUGAUUUGUAAUGCUACAUUAGCGACUAGAUUACAUAGUAGAUUAACCAAACACAGUUAUCCUGACAGGAUUGCCUGUAAUCCUGCCAGGAUAACUCGAACCAAACGCACCCUUAUAGUUUAAUGUAUUUUCUUUUUGC
This 1027-nucleotide long non-coding RNA is filed under the name Ananas comosus (pineapple). Its description in RNAcentral is "long non-coding RNA (ACOM_LNC033944)". Lineage: Eukaryota; Viridiplantae; Streptophyta; Magnoliopsida; Poales; Bromeliaceae. The record is from RNAcentral.